Molecule: ribosomal RNA, 776 nt
Filed under: Manorina melanocephala (noisy miner)
Lineage: Eukaryota; Metazoa; Chordata; Aves; Passeriformes; Meliphagidae
Description: partial 12S ribosomal RNA
Rfam family: Bacterial small subunit ribosomal RNA
Source: RNAcentral
GACUUAGUCCUAACCUUACUGUUGGUUGUUGCUAGGUAUAUACAUGCAAGUAUCCGCGCGCCAGUGUAGAUGCCCUCAGUACCUCUCACCCAGGUCAGUAGGAGCGGGUAUCAGGCUCACACCUCCCCACGUAGCCCAAAACGCCUUGCACUUGCCACACCCCCACGGGUCCUCAGCAGUAAUUAAUAUUAAGCAAUGAGUGUAAACUUGACUUAGCCAUAGCAAUACAGGGUUGGUAAAUCUUGUGCCAGCCACCGCGGUCAUACAAGAAACCCGAAUCAACUUUACCUUAAUAACGGCGUAAAGAGUGGUAACAUGUUAUCAAAGUACCUAAGAUUAAAACGCAACUGAGCUGUCGCAAGCCCAAGAUGCCCCUAAGGCCACCACCUAAAGAAGAUCUUAGAGCAACGAUUAAUUGAAAUCCACGAAAGCCAGGGCCCAAACUGGGAUUAGAUACCCCACUAUGCCUGGCCGUAAAUAUUGAUGCUUUAUAUAACCUGAGCAUCCGCCCGAGAACUACGAGCCCAAACGCUUAAAACUCUAAGGACUUGGCGGUGUCCCAAAUCCACCUAGAGGAGCCUGUUCUGUAAUCGAUGAUCCACGAUACACCCGACCAUUCCUUGCAAAAACAGCCUAUAUACCGCCGUCGCCAGCUCACCCUGCUUGAAGGUCCAACAGUGAACGCAAUAGUUUUUACCACACUAAAAAGACAGGUCAAGGUAUAGCCUAUGGAAUGGAAGCAAUGGGCUACAUUUUCUAGUAUAGAACAACACGGC